CAUAGUAAACAAAAUUAUCAAAAGAAAAUUCAUUGGCACAGCCGAGAAAUGUUGAAUGAGGAUGUUCAGUACCAGCACUGUGCCCAGCACUGUGGUAUUUUAAGCUAGAUCAUCCUUGAGGGACUGUGUACUGCAGGGUAGUUUAGUGGCAUCCUUAGAGGUUGGCUUGAGGACAGUAGCAGAAACUGCCAAGUGUUCCCUGAACCACUUAGGUCACCAAUGGCUCUAUGGGGACACUGUGAGACCACUGCCCCUUAGCUUUUGGUACUUUAUUGCAGGCCACAUGAUAGAGUCCUGUCGCCUUGCAAAGGCAGUUUCCCCAUCUGACCCAAGCAGCAUGAGUGAAAGCUCCGCAGAAGCCAUUUCUGCCUGAAGCUUCCUUCUUCGUGGCUGAUCUCCAUCUUCCUUACACUCCCAGUGGAAUCAAAUCAAAAAUUUGACAAUGAUUUAGGAAAAUUCUUUAAUAAAAUUUAUUUUUAAAAAAUGCAUUCUUGAGAACAGCUUUUCUUUUCCACUCCCCAAGAAAAUACAAAAUUAUCCACACCUACAGACAUAUACACUCAAAAACUAGACAUUCUCUACUCCACACUCCCUUAGAGACAGUGGAAAGGGCAGAAUCAGCAACGUGAGUCCCACCACUGAUUGAAGACAUGAUUUUUGCUUUCUUCCCCAGGUGACGCAAUUUCGAAAAAAUUCUGCAGGGACUGUCAAAAUUUGAAAGUGUGUAUUGUCAAUGAAAAGAAAAGAAUCUUGAAACCCUGUGCUCUCCCUGCCCCCCUCUGCCCCCUCCUUCACCCUCUAGGGCGGGGUUUUCCUCAACAUCCACCUGAAAUUGGGUGAGCUGGAUGCAGAGCAGCCAGGUUUUCUACAAAUACCACAAAUAAGAGCAGGCACUUGGGGAAUCAGGGCAUCAGGUACAAAAGGAUCCAGGAGAAGAAACAUUCUGCCAGAACUUUCAGGAAGAGAGGCCAUUUGCCUCCACCAACCUCAGCACCAGGUGACUAGAUAGCAGCCACAGUGGCUGCGCCCCACCCCCAGCCCAUCGCCUGUGUUUCCUGUCUUCCUUUGGCAGUGGCACGAUGAACACUGCUGAUUCUCAGAAUAUACCAAUAUUGUUGUCAGCGAUAAUGAAAAAGUCAGUGGCACCUGAAAACACCAUUUACGCCCCCGCCUCACAUGGAAGCAAGGAAGCCCAUAGUGACAUAUUAUGAACACUGCCUCAGAAAAGACAUUUCAAGUGAGUACUGAGGACAUGGAAAACAAAAUCUAUGCAGGGUCUGAGUACACACCACCAGCCGAGACAACCACACAAAACACGGGCCAUGUACCCUAAAAGGACCCAGUCAUUUCUGUGUCCAGGAACUCCCAUCUGAGGCAGAGUAACAGAAUUCAGGAACAUAAAUGGGUAUUAGAAUGCUAGUGCAUACAGUUU
Long non-coding RNA from Perognathus longimembris pacificus (Pacific pocket mouse), 1432 nucleotides. RefSeq lists it as uncharacterized. The transcript is spliced from 2 exons. The record is from RefSeq and is a predicted model, not a curated record. Lineage: Eukaryota; Metazoa; Chordata; Mammalia; Rodentia; Heteromyidae.